RNAcentral lists this RNase P RNA (407 nucleotides) under Nocardioidaceae bacterium. Its description in RNAcentral is "RNase P RNA component class A". It matches the Rfam family "Bacterial RNase P class A". Rfam says of the family: Ribonuclease P (RNase P) is a ubiquitous endoribonuclease, found in archaea, bacteria and eukarya as well as chloroplasts and mitochondria. Lineage: Bacteria; Bacillati; Actinomycetota; Actinomycetes; Propionibacteriales; Nocardioidaceae. The record is from RNAcentral.
CGAGUCGGUCGGACGGUCGCGUGAGGUGGUCCGCCACCUCCCGAGGAAGGUCCGGACUCCGAAGAGCAGGGUGGUGGGCAACGCCCACCCACGGUGACGUGCGGGACAGUGCCACAGAGAACAGACCGCCAGCGGCCCUGGCGCCCACGGGCGGCAGGGUGCGGGCAAGGCUGAAACGGUGGUGUAAGAGACCACCAGCGCCCCGGGUGACCGGGACGGCUAGGUAAACCCCACCCGGAGCAAGACCAAGAGGCCCCCGUCACGGCGGGGGCUGCGCCGGUGCCCGAGGACUGCUCGUCCGAGCCGGCGGGUAGGUCGCCAGAGCCCACCGGCAACGGUGGGCCUAGACAGAUGGCCGUCCGGGGCUCGCGCCCCGACAGAAUCCGGCCUACAGACCGGCUCGUCCG